Long non-coding RNA from Etheostoma cragini (Arkansas darter), 520 nucleotides. RefSeq lists it as uncharacterized. Lineage: Eukaryota; Metazoa; Chordata; Actinopteri; Perciformes; Percidae. The record is from RefSeq and is a predicted model, not a curated record. The transcript is spliced from 3 exons.
GGAGGGGGGAGCUGGCGAUGGAGGACGACUCGGAUACAAGAAACAGAAAAGGGAUUCAAAACGGGGUCCUCUAGUGGUCUCUCCUGCCACUCUCGAUCAUAGCAGCCACCAGCCUCGACGCAGCUCCUGGUCCGGCAUUCGUCUGUCCCCGGGCCCAGUGGAACAGCAUGUCCAGCACCAAGGCUCCCAGGUUGUCCCUGGAUGUGUCACUAGAGUUUUUUUUAGCAUGGGGAGCAGUGGGAGGGACAGAUGAGCAUCAGUCUGUAUGUAAUCUCCUGCAGUGUCCCAGAUGGCUUAGUGAUGGCUGACAGUGCAGAUUAAAACAAUCAAAAUCCUCUACCAUUUCUCUCCCACUGCAGUAUUCCUUCACUCACAUUACAUCUCUCCAAUUCCCUCUUAUGCCCUUAGAGGCUUUGGUUGUGCCAACACGCAUUUGUGCACACACUGUUUACGUCAUUCACUCAUGUAGAGAUGCUUUAAACAGAAAAUGUACAUUUUUAUCUAAAUCUCUUGUGAGUUU